GCAUGGCCGAAUUCUGUGUUACUUUGCACGUAGUAAAUACAGUCAGACACCAUGCUAAAUUACUGUUUUUCACAAAC
This 77-nucleotide small nucleolar RNA is filed under the name Cyprinodon variegatus (sheepshead minnow). RNAcentral describes it as "Small nucleolar RNA SNORA15 (ENSCVAG00000007890.1)". It matches the Rfam family "Small nucleolar RNA SNORA15". Rfam says of the family: ACA15 is a member of the H/ACA class of snoRNA that guide the sites of modification of uridines to pseudouridines. The record is from RNAcentral. Lineage: Eukaryota; Metazoa; Chordata; Actinopteri; Cyprinodontiformes; Cyprinodontidae.